Molecule: transfer RNA, 34 nt
Filed under: Cercopithecus nictitans martini
Lineage: Eukaryota; Metazoa; Chordata; Mammalia; Primates; Cercopithecidae
Description: partial tRNA-Glu
Source: RNAcentral
GUUUUUGUAGUUGAAAUACAACGGUGGUUUUUCA